Bos taurus (domestic cattle) is the source of this 73-nucleotide non-coding RNA. Lineage: Eukaryota; Metazoa; Chordata; Mammalia; Artiodactyla; Bovidae. The record is from Rfam.
UCCCUGGUGGUCCAGUGGUUAGGACUCUGCACUCUCACUGCUGAGGGCCCAGGUUCAUUCCCUGGCUGGGGAA